CCUAGACCUGUGAAAUGUCAAAGGGUGUAGGCGGAUCGCUGCCCUAAAAGAGUUCCAGACUGUAAAGUUGUUAUUGAAAGUUCACUUGAAAUGCUUUGGUAUUGUAUUUGUUUGAAAUGUUAAGAUGUCAUUUCUACAGUGAAAGCUGAGUUGCUGAGAAUCCCUUGUUCGGAAAGUAACAGUAUGCUGGAUCAUUGUUUCAGAGUCUAUGUUGAUUCAGUUGGUGUAGUAUGCAAUAUAAAUGGUUACUUACCUUGAGUUCAAGCUACAGAGCAUGUAUUCAAAAGAAACGCUUAGAAUAUGUAAAAUAUUUGUAUUUUGUUUUAAAAGAAGGGGGAUGUAAUAUUCAUAUGUGUAAACAUACUGAAUUAUAAUUGGAUGCAUUUUACCGCUGUAUCAUACUGUGCUAUGAUUGGUUAAGACCACCCAGAUGGUUAGGUCAUGGUCAAUUGAUCAUGGUUGGAGAUAAGUGAACAUGCAAGUUGUAGCAAGCUAAUAAAGAGCUACGUUAAGAAAUAUCCUGCAGUACUGCAUUUUAUUAUUUUGUACAAAGCGUGCAAAACAAGACAGGGCGUGGAUCAGAAGACCAGUAUCUGGUGUGACCACCAUUUGCCAUGCAGUGUGACACAUCUCCUUCUCAGAGUUGAUCAGGCUGUUGUUUGUGGCCUGUGGAAUGUUGUCCCUCUCCUCUUCAAUUGCUGUGCGAAGUUGCUGGAUAUUUGCGGUAACUAGAACAUGCUGUCGUACGUUGAUCCAGAGCAUUCCAAACGUGCUCAAUGGGUGACAUGUCUGUAAACAUCCAGAGGGCCUCUGUAUUGCCCAACCUCUCCCCCCUCUAUUUACAGGAAAUGGUGUGGUCCUGCCCCCAAACCAGGCGCAAACGGUACUUGCUCGCAGUGAAUUGCAAGUGAGGAGUGCAGGUGGAGCAUCAUGUCUCAGCUUCCUGUCUCCUGGCUUCCAAAAACGAAAAGAAAGACAGGAGAGAGAAAAGAAAGGGUGACAGUAUGUCUCAGGAAGGCCCAACAAAUGCAGCCACAGGCUCAGCAGCCCUGUCUCUCCAUCCCCAUACCACUGAACAAUCCCUGUCUCCACAUCCCCAUACCCCUGAACCAGCCCUACUCCCAAGUGAAGAAGGAGUUGAGCAGCAUUGUGUUGAAUGACAAGUCAGUUGGCUUAAUUGCAGGUACUGCAAUGCAUUGAGGACAGGAAUUCAAUUCCCCAGUCAGGAAAAAUCUCACUAGACAGAGCGGCAACCAAUAUCAGAGCCUUAAGGAAGAGAUGCAGGCUCUUAGAGAUGGAUGGGAGUCUCUCCUGUCUGAGGAAACACUGAUUACUACGCAAAUGGAUGUUGCACCUCAAUUUAGCAAGGAACACAGCCACCAGAGGAAAAGGAAGAGAUUCCAUGAUGAGACCUCUCAAGAGGAGACAGCUCAGGACAGUGCAGCAACAGUGUUGCGGAACAGUGUUUUUUACUGCUAUGGACAACAUCAUAAGUGACUUGAACACUAGGCUCCACACCACUGCAAAAAUUGUAGUAUAAUUUUCUGCUGUUCUGAAAGUUGGGCAGAUUAGUGAGGAUAAAGUCCCUUCUGUGUGUCAACCACUGAUCAUGAAGUAUUCCAGAGAUCUUACACCUGAGUUUCAAAAGGAAGUAAGACACCUGAACACUGUAUAUGCUGCCACUUUUCCCCCUAACUUGUCCCCUCUUGGUCUCCUGAAGGCAAUUUGUAAGAUGCAGCUGCACUGCUCCAAAAAAAUAAAGGGAACACUUAAACAACACAAUGUAACUCCAAGUCAAUCACACUUCUGUGAAAUCAAACUAUCCACUUAGGAAGCAACACUGAUUGACAAUCCAUUUCACAUGCUGUUGUGCAAAUGGAAUAGACAACAGGUGGAAAUUAUAGGCAAUUAGCAAGACACUCCCAAUAAAGGAGUGG
RNAcentral lists this long non-coding RNA (1937 nucleotides) under Salmo salar (Atlantic salmon). Its description in RNAcentral is "lncRNA (ENSSSAG00000099050.1)". Lineage: Eukaryota; Metazoa; Chordata; Actinopteri; Salmoniformes; Salmonidae. The record is from RNAcentral.